Long non-coding RNA from Rosa chinensis, 1187 nucleotides. RefSeq lists it as uncharacterized. The transcript is spliced from 5 exons. The record is from RefSeq and is a predicted model, not a curated record. NCBI's taxonomy places the organism in Eukaryota, Viridiplantae, Streptophyta, Magnoliopsida, Rosales, Rosaceae.
GAAGCCUUCUUUCCUUCUCCGCUAGCUAGACCCCAAUUAAGCAAUUGCAGCUCCCAUUCUGGUUCUUCUCCCCCGAUCAGCAACAUUCUUUUCCUUUCCCAAUUAUGGUUCUUCUCUCCCCGAUCUAGGUUUUUUACACAAAAGAGUCUCAUCAAUCAACCUCUCCCCGAUCUAGGUCAAGAAGACACUGUUGGUGGAGUUCUUUGAUCCGAUUUUACAAAGUAUAUUGUUGUUGCACGGAUUUCUGGUCAAGGAGAGGAGUGAAGGAGAAAUGGGUUCUGCACUCAGAUGAGUUUUUAGCCUCUCCAAAGUCGGAAACGUUAAAGAUCUUGCAAGAUUAGGUUGUGGUCAAUUGUUAUAAAGAUGGGUAAGAGAUGAUCAGUCUUCAGUAAUAGUCAAAUUGUAUUACCUGCAAUUCGGAAGUGCAAGACUUGGUGUUUGGAUAUAGGGGCAGGAGUUCUUGCUUCAUGCGAGUGACUGAAAUAGAGUUGGGUCUUAUUCGAGUCCAGGGAUUUGCUGCUGGGUUUAUGGAUUUGGUUAUGGUUUGUUCUUCAAAUCGAUUUGAUUGUUAUUUGGGUUCAGGAAUUUGGGGAUGGUUUGUUCUUGAAGUCGAUUUAGGUGUUAUUUGGCUUUAGAUUUACUGUUGGGUUUAUUAUUUAUAUAAACCUUAGUUUAUUCUAUUAGCUAAUAAGUUUCCAACUUCAGUUCAUCAUCCGAAGUAACUUGCAGAUUAGAUUUUCAUGAGUCAUUCAUUUAUUGCUUGUCAUUGGAAUCAUAAUCUGAUUAUUUGAGAUUGAAUAUAUGAACUUUUAAGUUUUUUGUUCUUUUGACAUGCAUAAGCUUCUCAUAGGCACUGCUGAUAGAGGCAUUAAAGCAUGGAAUGUCGAUGCAAAGAGAGUUGUCUGUGACUUUCAGACAAGUGCAGAAUUUCCAAGUGUGUUGGAUAUAAAAUGCAGCCUUGUAGAGCCAAUUUUUGUUUCUGCUGCAGCAUCCAAGGGGUAUGCUCUUUUUCUGAUCUCAUCUUACCACUGUUUUUGCCUAAAGUGCUCUAUUCAACUUAGUAAAAUAUGAGCCUGUGGUGUUGAAAUGAAAUAGUAUGGUCACUGGAAGAUUCUACUUACAAUUCAUGUCCAUUUAUAUGUGUGUUUAUGUUUGUCUUUGGGUGAUAUAUAUAUAUAUAUAUAUAU